GGUACAUCGGUGACAGGUGGUGGCAUGGUUGUCGUCAGCUCGUGUCGUGAGAUGUUGGUUAAGUCCCGCAACGAGCGCAACCCCUAUUGUUAGUUGCCAUCAUUCAGUUGGGCACUCUAGCGAGACUGCCGGUAAUAAACCGGAGGAAGGUGGGGAUGACGUCAAAUCAUCAUGCCCCUUAUGACCUGGGCUACACACGUGCUACAAUGGUUGGUACAACGAGUUGCGAGUCGGUGACGGCGAGCUAAUCUCUUAAAGCCAAUCUCAGUUCGGAUUGUAGGCUGCAACUCGCCUACAUGAAGUCGGAAUCGCUAGUAAUCGCGGAUCAGCACGCCGCGGUGGAUACGUUCCCGGGCCUU
RNAcentral lists this ribosomal RNA (359 nucleotides) under uncultured Streptococcus sp. RNAcentral's name for it is "bacterial SSU rRNA". It matches the Rfam family "Bacterial small subunit ribosomal RNA", at positions 1022 to 1382 of the family's 1533-position model. The record is from RNAcentral. Lineage: Bacteria; Bacillati; Bacillota; Bacilli; Lactobacillales; Streptococcaceae.